Molecule: long non-coding RNA, 207 nt
Filed under: Elaeis guineensis (African oil palm)
Lineage: Eukaryota; Viridiplantae; Streptophyta; Magnoliopsida; Arecales; Arecaceae
Description: long non-coding RNA (EGUI_LNC017710)
Source: RNAcentral
CUCCUCCUUCUUCUUCUUCUUCUUCUUCUUUUUUGUCACAACGUUCUGAUUGUUUUUCUUCUUCUUCUUUUUUGUCACAACGUUCUGAUUGUUCAUCAAGGACAAUACUGCAAAUUAAUUCUUUUCUACCUCUUGGACUCAAAACCAAGAUCCUUUCAAUCAUUUAGGAAAUGCUACUUGCCAAAGGUUAUCAUGGUCUUAUCAUCA